RNAcentral lists this transfer RNA (72 nucleotides) under Diaphorina citri (Asian citrus psyllid). It matches the Rfam family "tRNA". Rfam says of the family: Transfer RNA (tRNA) molecules are approximately 80 nucleotides in length. Their secondary structure includes four short double-helical elements and three loops (D, anti-codon, and T loops). Further hydrogen bonds mediate the characteristic L-shaped molecular structure. tRNAs have two regions of fundamental functional importance: the anti-codon, which is responsible for specific mRNA codon recognition, and the 3' end, to which the tRNAs corresponding amino acid is attached (by aminoacyl-tRNA synthetases). tRNAs cope with the degeneracy of the genetic code in two manners: having more than one tRNA (with a specific anti-codon) for a particular amino acid; and 'wobble' base-pairing, i.e. permitting non-standard base-pairing at the 3rd anti-codon position. The record is from Rfam by way of RNAcentral. Lineage: Eukaryota; Metazoa; Arthropoda; Insecta; Hemiptera; Psyllidae.
GCUCCCAUGGCGUAGUGGUCACUGCGCUCGCCUUGCACGCGGGAGACCCGGGUUCGAUUCCCGGCGGAGUCG